AACGAACGCUGGCGGCAGGCCUAAAACAUGCAAGUCGAACGAUCUAGCAAUAGAUAGUGGCGCACGGGUGAGUAACACGUGGGAAUAUCCCUUUCACUACGGAACAACGUCGGGAUACUGACGCUAAUACCGUAUAAUGUCUCCGGACCAAAGAUUUAUCGGUGAAAGAUUAGCCCGCGUCUGAUUAGCUAGCUGGUGAGGUAACGGCUCACCAAGGCAACGAUCGGUAGCUGGUCUGAGAGGAUGAUCAGCCACACUGGAACUGAGACACGGUGCAGACUCCUACGGGAGGCAGCAGUUAGGAAUGUUGGACAAUGGGGGCAACCCUGAUCCAGCCAUGCCGCGUGUGUGACGAAGGCCUUAGGGUUGUAAAGCACUUUCGUCUACGAAGAUAAUGACAGUAGUAGAAGAAGAAGCUCCGGCUAAAUUCGUGCCAGCCGCCGCGGUAA
RNAcentral lists this ribosomal RNA (449 nucleotides) under uncultured bacterium. RNAcentral's name for it is "partial 16S ribosomal RNA". It matches the Rfam family "Bacterial small subunit ribosomal RNA", at positions 29 to 523 of the family's 1533-position model. The record is from RNAcentral.